GGCACUGUGGCUUAGUUGGUGAAAGCACCUGUUCAGUAAAUAGGGGAUCCUGGGUUCAAAUCCCAGCAGUGCCU
Non-coding RNA from Alligator sinensis (Chinese alligator), 74 nucleotides. The record is from Rfam. NCBI's taxonomy places the organism in Eukaryota, Metazoa, Chordata, Crocodylia, Alligatoridae.